AUACGUGCCAGCAGCCGCGGUAAUACGUAUGGUGCAAGCGUUAUCCGGAUUUACUGGGUGUAAAGGGAGCGUAGACGGAGAAGCAAGUCUGGAGUGAAAGCCCGGGGCUCAACCCCGGGACUGCUUUGGAAACUGUUUGUCUAGAGUGCCGGAGAGGUAAGCAGAAUUCCUAGUGUAGCGGUGAAAUGCGUAGAUAUUAGGAGGAACACCAGUGGCGAAGGCGGCUUACUGGACGGUAACUGACGUUGAGGCUCGAAAGCGUGGGGAGCA
Molecule: ribosomal RNA, 270 nt
Filed under: uncultured bacterium
Lineage: Bacteria
Description: partial 16S ribosomal RNA
Rfam family: Bacterial small subunit ribosomal RNA
Source: RNAcentral